GGUCGGUUGGCCGAGCGGUUAGGCAACGGUCUGCAAAACCGUGUACGGCAGUUCGAACCUGCCACCGACCU
This 71-nucleotide transfer RNA is filed under the name Prolixibacteraceae bacterium. Its description in RNAcentral is "tRNA-Cys". It matches the Rfam family "tRNA". Rfam says of the family: Transfer RNA (tRNA) molecules are approximately 80 nucleotides in length. The record is from RNAcentral. Lineage: Bacteria; Pseudomonadati; Bacteroidota; Bacteroidia; Marinilabiliales; Prolixibacteraceae.